This is a non-coding RNA of Caerostris darwini, 84 nucleotides long. The record is from the annotation of a GenBank genome assembly. NCBI's taxonomy places the organism in Eukaryota, Metazoa, Arthropoda, Arachnida, Araneae, Araneidae.
GUUCUCGUUAGAUCACCGAAGUUAAGCAUCAUUGGGCGCGGUCAGUACUUGGUGGGUGACCACCUGGGAACACUGCGUGCCGUU